AUUAUCUGUUCAGGAGUCUUAUGGGUUGGGGGUAGAAGCUGUUAAAAGGCCUUUUGAACUUUGACUUGGUGCUCCGGUACCGCUUGCCGUGCGGUAGCAGAGAAAACAGUCUAUGACUAGGGUGGCUGGAGUCUUUGGCAAUUUUUUUGGCCUUCCUCUGACACCACCUUGUAAAUAGACCCUGGAUGGCAGGAAGCUUGGCCCCAGUGAUGUACUGGGCUGUACACACUACCCUCUGUAGUGCCUUGCUGUUGGAGGCCGAGCAGUUGCCAUACCAGGAAGAAGACUGUGUUUUGGUUUGUUUCUUUGUCAAAUAGGGUGUGCAGGGUGAAUACGUGGUCUGUCGUACGGUAAUUUGGUAAAAAUCCAAUUUGACAUUUGCUCAGUACAUUGUUUUCACUGAGGAAAUGUACAAGUCUGCUGUUAAUGAUAAUGCGGAGGAUUUUCCCCAGGUUGCUGUUGACGCAUAUCCCACGGAAGUUAUUGGGGUCAAAUAUGUCUCCACUUUUGUGGAUUGGGGUUAUGUUUCACUAUAUUGGAUCACUCCAAUAUAUUGGUAUCACUUCGCGACAGAGGGAUACAUCCGAGGUGAGGAUUUACAGAUUUACUCCCGUGUACACCUGUGUCACGGCUGGGGUCUGCCCCCAUAUAUACACACCCCAUGGCCGCGACACACGUUCUCAUUCAUUUUCUCGGCGGACGUCCAUAUGGUUUGAGGUACAAACUUUCUGAAGAUCGCUUGGUAAGUCACUGGUAAGUGUAAUAUCUUGCAUGGAAGUAUACUCACUGGCUGUUUGCAGCCUGGUGCAGCUGGCCACAUGGCCAGCCCCUCCUCUUGAGUGCUCCACUCGCUGCGCACGGUUGAUAUGUAUCUUCCACCCAUGGUUUGUUGUACUUGUGUUUUGUUAGCGUUACACUACGACUCUGUGUGCAUCCAUUAGUAUGGUGGUUCUUGCUGCCACAAACUGUAAUUUACCGAACACAACUUGCCGACUGGCUUGUUCUAUGUGUGUGUUGUGAAUUGCGUUAACAUGCUGCUCCCCACGCCAUAGGCGCGGGUUCUCUGCUAAUUACCCUGCAGGGUUUUUUUCUUGUUCUUUCCCCUGCAGAGUGUAAGAGUAUCGUGGUGGGCUUCCACUACGUUGAGACAUUAACUUUGGAGUUCCUUAAUGGAGUUACUCCAUUAUACAGUGCUUUUUUUACUGCUUGGAUAUUAAAGGUAAUAUUGCAGUAACAAAAAAAAAUAUUAAAAAAAUACAUAUAAAUCAAAUCCAUUACCUGGUUGCUGUGUUUUUGGCUGCCUGUUUUUCCCACAGGGGUCUUCCCCUGUGUUUGCAGAGGUACUGGGUAAUUUAUCCCUCACCGGCUUCCUAUUCCUCCAAGCAGGUUACGACAUAAGCUCUCCCAGGGCAUCGGACUCCUGCUCCGUGGCCUUGCUGGCUUGGAUGUAUACCCUGUAUACCUCGGAGAGGGCGAUGGAGCGCCCUACUGGAUGCCUGUUUUGUGUGGUGUUCUCAGAACGCCUGCGCCUGGCGCGAUUGGAGGCCAUGCGCAAGUGGGUCGGCCAGUACCCCUCCCAGGAAGCGUGGCCAGAGCCACUGCAGGCCUCUCU
Molecule: long non-coding RNA, 1612 nt
Filed under: Salmo salar (Atlantic salmon)
Lineage: Eukaryota; Metazoa; Chordata; Actinopteri; Salmoniformes; Salmonidae
Description: lncRNA (ENSSSAG00000117543.1)
Source: RNAcentral